AUUAGAGUUUCUUGACGCCUCUUG
RNAcentral lists this non-coding RNA (24 nucleotides) under Arabidopsis thaliana (thale cress). The record is from RNAcentral. Lineage: Eukaryota; Viridiplantae; Streptophyta; Magnoliopsida; Brassicales; Brassicaceae.